GAGUGAGAACUUCAGCGAUCACUAUAAAGCAAAACAAAUGCGAAGUUUACAAAGGGGGUGUGGAGAAGGCAGGUCCCCAAAUAAAGAAGUUGGCAGGGACUCAAAUGCCUGGGAUUAUGAGAGAAGUGGAACACACACACGCAAAACCUCAGGGCAAGAGGUGUCAAGUCAGCUGUAUUUUACACAGGGUUCCUGGAACCAAUGUGAUGGAAUGGCUGAAUACAGAGUUCAAACAGAGGUUGAAAUGUGAGCAGUGCUGGAAGUCAACAGACAUGUCUGUGCAAGCCCAGCUACUCUUUAUCAUCACUACUUUCCACAAGAGAUCCUUUGGUCUCCAUUGUGUCAUUUGUGGUGUUCAUGCUAGAAAAUAUAAUCCAAUCCAGUGAUUAGGUGCAUAGAAUUUCUAAGGCUGGUUCUGGUUUUGCUACAAUUAAAACAUGCAGAGCUUUGAGAAAGUCAA
Molecule: long non-coding RNA, 460 nt
Organism: Pezoporus occidentalis (night parrot)
Lineage: Eukaryota; Metazoa; Chordata; Aves; Psittaciformes; Psittacidae
Exons: 2
Source: RefSeq, a predicted model, not a curated record